This 320-nucleotide ribosomal RNA is filed under the name uncultured eukaryote. RNAcentral describes it as "partial 18S ribosomal RNA". It matches the Rfam family "Eukaryotic small subunit ribosomal RNA", at positions 1470 to 1796 of the family's 1831-position model. The record is from RNAcentral.
CCCUUAGAUGUUCUGGGCUGCACGCGUGUUACAAUCGGGAGUACAACAAGAUUGCAAAUCCUAGUGGAUGAGUGGUUCUUCGAAAUUUUCUGAAGACUGGGAUAGUUGAUUGAAAUUAUUCAACUCAAACGAGGAAUUCCUUGUAAUUGUAAUUCAUUAUAUUGUAAUGAAUACGUCCCUGCCCUUUGUACACACCGCCCGUCGCUCCUACCGAUUGAAGAGUUAGGUGAAUUGUUUUGAUCGAUAAGAUUUGACUAUGGUCAACUCUCGUUGUGAAAUUCUGUGAAUCUGACUGUUUAGAGGAAGGAAAAGUCGUAACA